CCUACGGGAGCCUGCAGUGGGGAAUAUUGCACAAUGGGCGCAAGCCUGAUGCAGCCAUGCCGCGUGUGUGAAGAAGGCCUUCGGGUUGUAAAGCACUUUCAGCGGGGAGGAAGGCGUUAAGGUUAAUAACCUUGUCGAUUGACGUCACCCGCAGAAGAAGCACCGGCUAACUCCGUGCCAGCAGCCGCGGUAAUACGGAGGGUGCAAGCGUUAAUCGGAAUUACUGGGCGUAAAGCGCACGCAGGCGGUCUGUCAAGUCGGAUGUGAAAUCCCCGGGCUCAACCUGGGAACUGCAUUCGAAACUGGCAGGCUAGAGUCUUGUAGAGGGGGGUAGAAUUCCAGGUGUAGCGGUGAAAUGCGUAGAGAUCUGGAGGAAUACCGGUGGCGAAGCCGGCCCCCUGGACAAAGACUGACGCUCAGGUGCGAAAGCGUGGGGAGCAAACAGGAUUAGAUACCCGAGUAGUC
This 465-nucleotide ribosomal RNA is filed under the name uncultured Klebsiella sp. RNAcentral describes it as "bacterial SSU rRNA". It matches the Rfam family "Bacterial small subunit ribosomal RNA", at positions 338 to 795 of the family's 1533-position model. Lineage: Bacteria; Pseudomonadati; Pseudomonadota; Gammaproteobacteria; Enterobacterales; Enterobacteriaceae. The record is from RNAcentral.